Paramuricea clavata is the source of this 457-nucleotide non-coding RNA. NCBI's taxonomy places the organism in Eukaryota, Metazoa, Cnidaria, Anthozoa, Malacalcyonacea, Plexauridae. The record is from the annotation of a GenBank genome assembly.
AGAAUAGAUAUUUUGUGGUUUUCAGGCUAGCCUAACAAUAUAAUCAUAAUCACCAUCACGUUUAUUCUGAUCCUUAAUUAUGUGUCACGUACAGACUCACGUAUGUAUUGUUCGAGUCACGGAUUGUCACGGAUAGGUAACUUUCUUAUUGCUAUUGGUUAGUUGGGCAAAAACACAAUACACACGUGAUGGUGAAGUCUAUUAUUUUGCAGCCAAUGCAGCCAUCCUCAUUCGAUAGGCCAUGGUCAUACAUUGACAGUGGUUCAACUCAGAGGUUCAGCUCAUAGCUUCGCCCAGGCAACGCCCACAUCGCAAGAGACCAAUCAAACAGUUUAAUACUAGCAAGAUAAGCAAUAUUCUGUGAGUAUUUUGUUAAAAGAUGAUAAAAAAGAUAGAUAUACACUGCCAUAUACUGCCGAAAGAGUGGCCUGAUUUGAAGAAGGUUAGUUGAAACGAU